AAAAACUUACAACGUGGCAACAGUGUAAAAUAUUUGCAAUAUAGAUAGUUUCUGUAAACUUAUGUUAAAAGUAGAUGAGUUAUUUUAAAGAAAGUUAUUAGUAAGCUUUGAUUUGGAUACGAUUAUUUAAUUAGACACGUUCAUCUUAGAUGCCAUCUACACACCAUGGGUAUCAAGAACGAUCCAGAGUUGGUGUAGGAAGUGUACAGAUGAAACUGCAGGUCACUUUAUAAGUUCCCAAUACGGGGGAGCCUCACAGUUUGUCUAAUGACAUUAAAAGUUUCAAGGCAAAGCACCUGAUUGGGUUCUCCAAAGGAUUUCGGGAUUUGGUAAUGUCAAGUGGGGCACGACAAUCUUUUUGGAGGACCUCAACGACCUUUAGUCGCCCACUACGCUACCAUGAGAACGUGGGUGUAUUGAAAUAAAACAAAAUAAUAUUAAAAACAAUUUUUAAUAGAUAUUUCAUUAUUAGAACCAUAUAUUUUAAUUAGAAUGUAUUUCAUAGAUAAUUUACGUUUUCUUAAAACAAUUACUAUUUACAUAUAAUACAAAAUAAAAACAUAAAAAUGAAGUAGUCGAUUUCUAUAAUAUAUAUAUAAUAUAAUCAACUAAUAUAGUUGAAAGUGACACUAGUAAAAAAAUAUAAAAAAAGGUGAAAUCCGUUCUAUGAAAGAAGGUUUUUUCUUUAAAUAAAACUCAACAAUAAUUCUACCCAAUCUCAUAGAACUGAUUUCAAUAUUAGAGUUGAGAAUCUUUCUAAGACGGUACACAAUGAAUAUUUUUUCCCAAACAUACACCCAAAGAUACCCUAAUUUUCAUUUAAAUUUCUUCUUUUUUCAUAUAAAAUAUUAAUUUCAAAUCAAAACUAUUCACUAUAAUCCUGUAUUAUGGAAUCUCUUAUUUUCAGAGGGAUGGAAAUUGAGAGUAUUUUCUGUAUUACUACUACAAUUAUACUUUCCCUUAUAAAUGAUAAUAACCUCCAAAAACGGGAUAGUAGUUCAAAUGUAACAUUCCUAACUUUUGUAUUUUCAUAAUAUUAAUAUGUAAUUCAAACCAGCAACCAUACAUCAUUUUUUCAAAUAUCAAUAAGGAAUAUUUUAAUUGAAAAUUUGUAUAUAAUUAUUGGUAGACAGUGAUUUAAAAAAAUGAAAGGCACACACAGAAUAACAACAUUAUAUAACCAGAUAUUUCAAGAAUCUCAAUAUUAUUAUGCAAAAACCACAACAAAUUAUGAAGAUAAGUUUUGAGCAAUGAGGUGACUCGAAUUUUUUUGCAAGUAAACUUUUGGACACAUUUCUAGAGAUAGAGAAGUUUGUAACAGCAUCUUAACAUUUUUUUCAACUGUCUUAAAUCACUUUGGAGUCUCUCCAAACCUCUAAACAAUCUAAAACUUUCCUGGAUCAUCCAAAUCAUCCUACAAAACAUUCUAAAAUUCUCUUAUAAUAUUUUGAAGCUCUUUAGGGCAUUAUGAAAGUAUUUGAGAGCUUGUAAGACUUCGUGACAUUUUUCAACUGUCCUUUAAGACUUUGAUACCCUUUGGAACAAAUUAAAAGUCAAUAUUGGAGACCGAGAAGCUUUUAGAAGCAUCUUGAUAUUGGUUUAAACUGUUGUAAAUGACUUGGAAGCCCUUUGGAAGAAACAACUUUCCAAUAUCAUCUGUAAACUUCUAUAGAUAAGGAAAUUAAACUAGGUACAUUGUUGAAAAUUGAGAAGUUUUUAAAAUCUUCUGUCACUGUCACUUCAAAAUCUCUCUGAAGAAACUAAGACUUUCCAGCUUCAUAAAGAAACUGAUAAAAAAAAAUUAACUUCUGGAAAAAUGUUUAGAGACUUAUAAAAGCACAUUCACUUUAUUUCAACUGUCUUGAAUCACUUGGAUGUCCUUUGAAAGCUUCCUGACAUUUUUUAACAAUCUUAAAACAAUUUGAAGUGUCUUAGAACAAACGGAAACUUUUUAAUUUAUCUGGAAAGGUGAAAAGUAAUUGAAAAAAAUAUUUGAAUGUAGUGAAAAAUCUAUAACAUUUUGGAACCUCUUGGAAUAGAGAGCUUUUUUGUGACCUAUAAAUUCUUCAGAAAACUUUUGGCAAAUAAUCAAAAAAUUGUUUUCAGCUGUUAAGAAAUUCAAUUUAGAAAAACAUACAAAUUUUGCAAAUGAGUUAAUAUAUAAAAAAAAUUGUGAAAAUGGUUGUAAAAAUUAUGAAUUUCAAAUUUGGUCUGUCACAUUUUUCCAACAGGAAAAAUCUCGAUUUAUAUUUUCCUUUUAGUUAUAAAAAAUUUUCCUAUACUUGGAUAAAUUACUAAACUUCAACACCCAAUACUCUAUCGACGACAUAAUUGUACCUUCCGUCUCCCGUACUAUUUUCUUCAUCCCCAACGUUUUUAUUACAGUCAUUUACUUCACCAACAACACUCUGUGACGAUUCUUCGUUCAUCGGUCUUUUCGUACUAUCGACUAUCGAAUGAUGGCACUCGUCUUGAGUUGGGAAAAAAGGUACUAUAGAAUCAGAUCGGGUAAAGAACGCCAUUUUUUCUCUGCAAAAAAAAAAUAUUCGAAAUCAUCUAUUAAACGUUUAGAACAUUAUAAACUUACUGGAAAGAAAUAACGUCUGGUUUUCCAUUACCAGCCUUCGAUUUUCUCAGUUUGUAAAUUUCCUUCGAAACCUUCCUCAACAUCUUCUCAAUUUUCUUUUCUUCUGCCGUUUUCGCCGUCCUGCAGCUCUCCGCUUGAGCUAUCAGAUUUUGGAACUGUCGGUCCUCCAACAAAUAAGCUGCCAAUUCUGUAUCACCUGCAACGAUAGUUUAUUAUUGGUCAUAAGUGAACUAAAUUGCAUGUAGAGACAUUACUGUUAAUACGAGGUUCGCUAAUUAUAUUUUACAGUCUUAUUUCCCUAUUCUUGAUCGACUGCAACAGUGACUGUGGUGGAAAAAGCCUUAGAAGACCUGCAUAGGGACCACUAGAAAUGAAAUUAAACUCAAGAAGAUAUAGUGACGUUGAUAGAACAGAUGGUUAAGGCACAUUUGGAAGAAAGAAAUCAAAGCAAAUAUACAUUUGCCUGGAGACCCUAUUUUUCGCCAAAGCCACAUCAGAUUUCAAGAGGUCAGGAUCAUAUUUCGUACUUACGCUACUGCUGGAAGAGCACACUGAAACAAUUCAAAAUAAUUAAAAA
Long non-coding RNA from Diorhabda carinulata, 3164 nucleotides. RefSeq lists it as uncharacterized. Lineage: Eukaryota; Metazoa; Arthropoda; Insecta; Coleoptera; Chrysomelidae. The transcript is spliced from 3 exons. The record is from RefSeq and is a predicted model, not a curated record.